This is a long non-coding RNA of Drosophila subobscura, 1011 nucleotides long. RefSeq lists it as uncharacterized. Lineage: Eukaryota; Metazoa; Arthropoda; Insecta; Diptera; Drosophilidae. The record is from RefSeq and is a predicted model, not a curated record. The transcript is spliced from 2 exons.
AAAAAAGAAAGAAAGAAAGAAACGCAAACGCAAAAGAAAAGAAAAAAGAAAACCAAGAAAUACAAGAAUUUUUUUAGGAACGAAUAAUGAAACAAUGGACCAACAUAUCAAAUGCAAUAAUUUAUUCAAAAUUGUAUUAGAGUAAAAAGAACAAACAAAAAAGUGAAAAACCAAAAGGAAGAUGAAAUUGAGAUGAUAAAUCAAUUGAACCCAUCCUCAAUCCUGUGUCUCUGCUACUGCCCAACCACGAGGAGACACACGCACACAGGCACACACAGACAGACAAGAGAAAGACCAAAGAUGAAGAAAAAGAUGAUAUGCCAAGAAAUUGCUUCAAGUGAUCCGAUAAUAAGACUCUAAGCUUAUAGAUCUAAGGGAGAAAGCAGAAAGAUGUGGAAGACGUGGAUGAUCUGGAGACGUGGCAACAGCAACAGCAAACAGUAGCAGCAGCGGCUACAAGAAGAACUACAAUAACACACACAUACACAUCCCCAGUCCCCCAACCAAAGAGAUAUAUAUAUAUGCAUUAGCCAUUGUAUAUACUACGAUUAUAUAUACCUAAGAAUAUAGAGAACUUUGAUUCGAUUGUAAAUACCGCAGCAGCAGCAGAAGCAAUAUAACCAACAAUGCAAAACAGAUCCAAAGAGCAUGCUAGCUUGAAGUAGUCACCCAUCCCAACCGACAGAUCUUUAAGUCACUAAGAACUCCCCCGACCCCCUCCCUAUAGAGCAGACUUUAAGAUGCUUCCUUAAUUUGUUUCCUCCACACAAACACACGAACACAAUCACACUCAACGCAAGGGUUAACGAUUAGCCCAUGGGAAAACGGCAACAAGCAGCAAAGAAAAAAAAUAAUAUAAUUCAAAUUUUUUUUUUUAUUUGUCUAUUUAUAAGUAAAUUAAUGCCGGGUGGAAAGAAGUGCCCCCCCCUACACCAAAAUAAAGUAAUGAAAUGUUAGCAGCAACUGGAGAUAUUGCAACGAAUUUAAAAUGUUGCCAAACUAAACUAAAAA